UCGUCCUAUGUUGCCCAGCACGUAAUGGUGGGAACUCAUGGGAGACUGCCGGGGUCAACUCGGAGGAAGGUGGGGAUGACGUCAAAUCAUCAUGCCCCUUAUGUCUUGGGCUUCACGCAUGCUACAACGGCCAGUACAAAGGGCUGCAAUACCGUAAGGUGGAGCGAAUCCCAAAAGGCUGGUCUCAGUUCGGAUUGAGGUCUGCAACUCGACCUCAUGAAGUCGGAGUCGCUAGUAAUCGCAGAUCAGCAACGCUGCGGUGAAUACGUUCCCGGGCCUUGUACACACCGCCCGUCAAGUCACGAA
RNAcentral lists this ribosomal RNA (306 nucleotides) under uncultured Actinomycetes bacterium. Its description in RNAcentral is "bacterial SSU rRNA". It matches the Rfam family "Bacterial small subunit ribosomal RNA", at positions 1105 to 1408 of the family's 1533-position model. The record is from RNAcentral. Lineage: Bacteria; Bacillati; Actinomycetota; Actinomycetes.